This 451-nucleotide ribosomal RNA is filed under the name uncultured bacterium. RNAcentral's name for it is "bacterial SSU rRNA". It matches the Rfam family "Bacterial small subunit ribosomal RNA", at positions 28 to 476 of the family's 1533-position model. The record is from RNAcentral.
GAUGAACGCUGGCGGCGUGCUUAACACAUGCAAGUCGAACGAAGCACUCUAUUUGAUUUUCUUCGGAAAUGAAGAUUUUGUGACUGAGUGGCGGACGGGUGAGUAACGCGUGGGUAACCUGCCUCAUACAGGGGGAUAACAGUUGGAAACGACUGCUAAUACCGCAUAAGCGCACAGGAUUGCAUGAUCCGGUGUGAAAAACUCCGGUGGUAUGAGAUGGACCCGCGUCUGAUUAGCCAGUUGGCAGGGUAACGGCCUACCAAAGCGACGAUCAGUAGCCGACCUGAGAGGGUGACCGGCCACAUUGGGACUGAGACACGGCCCAAACUCCUACGGGAGGCAGCAGUGGGGAAUAUUGCACAAUGGGGGAAACCCUGAUGCAGCGACGCCGCGUGAGCGAAGAAGUAUUUCGGUAUGUAAAGCUCUAUCAGCAGGGAAGAAGAAUGACGGU